GUGCACCAGUCGAGAAACCUCCGCAAUGCGGGAAACCGCGACGGGGGACCCCGAGUGCCGUGGCAAUGCUACGGCUUUUCCGGAGUGUAAAAAGCUCCGGGAAUAAGGGCUGGGCAAGGCCGGUGGCAGCCGCCGCGGUAAUACCGGCGGCCCGAGUGGUGGCCGCUAUUAUUGGGCCUAAAGCGUCCGUAGCCGGGCCCGUAAGUCCCUGGCGAAAUCCCACGGCUCAACCGUGGGGCUUGCUGGGGAUACUGCGGGUCUUGGGACCGGGAGAGGCGAGGGGUACCCCUGGGGUAGGGGUGAAAUCCUAUAAUCCCAGGGGGACCGCCAGUGGCGAAGGCGCCCCGCUGGAACGGGUCCGACGGUGAGGGACGAAGGCCAGGGGAGCAAACCGGAUUAGAUACCCGUGUAGU
Molecule: ribosomal RNA, 413 nt
Filed under: uncultured microorganism
Description: bacterial SSU rRNA
Rfam family: Archaeal small subunit ribosomal RNA
Source: RNAcentral